RNAcentral lists this ribosomal RNA (790 nucleotides) under uncultured archaeon. Its description in RNAcentral is "bacterial SSU rRNA". It matches the Rfam family "Archaeal small subunit ribosomal RNA", at positions 85 to 879 of the family's 1478-position model. The record is from RNAcentral.
ACGGCUCAGUAACACGUAGUCAACAUGCCCAGGGGACGUGGAUAACCUCGGGAAACUGAGGAUAAACCGCGAUAGGUCACUACUUCUGGAAUGGGUAAUGACCCAAACCUAUAUGGCCCCUGGAUUGGACUGCGGCCGAUCAGGCUGUUGGUGAGGUAAUGGCCCACCAAACCUGUAACCGGUACGGGCUCUGAGAGGAGGAGCCCGGAGAUGGGCACUGAGACAAGGGCCCAGGCCCUAUGGGGCGCAGCAGGCGCGAAACCUCUGCAAUAGGCGAAAGCUUGACAGGGUUACUCUGAGUGAUUUCCGUUAAGGAGAUCUUUUGGCACCUCUAAAAAUGGUGCAGAAUAAGGGGUGGGCAAGUCUGGUGUCAGCCGCCGCGGUAAUACCAGCACCCCGAGUGGUCGGGACGUUUAUUGGGCCUAAAGCAUCCGUAGCCGGUUCCACAAGUCUUCCGUUAAAUCCACCUGCUCAACAGAUGGGCUGCGGAAGAUACUAUGGAGCUAGGAGGCGGGAGAGGCAAGCGGUACUCGAUGGGUAGGGGUAAAAUCCGUUGAUCCAUUGAAGACCACCAGUGGCGAAGGCGGCUUGCCAGAACGCGCUCGACGGUGAGGGAUGAAAGCUGGGGGAGCAAACCGGAUUAGAUACCCGGGUAGUCCCAGCUGUAAACGAUGCAGACUCGGUGAUGAGUUGGCUUUAUGCCAACUCAGUGCCGCAGGGAAGCCGUUAAGUUUGCCGCCUGGGGAGUACGGUCGCAAGACUGAAACUUAAAGGAAUUGGCGGGGAGCAC